This 206-nucleotide ribosomal RNA is filed under the name uncultured bacterium. Its description in RNAcentral is "partial 16S ribosomal RNA". It matches the Rfam family "Bacterial small subunit ribosomal RNA", at positions 568 to 774 of the family's 1533-position model. The record is from RNAcentral.
AGCGUAGGCGGACUUUUAAGUGAGAUGUGAAAUACCCGGGCUCAACUUGGGUGCUGCAUUUCAAACUGGAAGUCUAGAGUGCAGGAGAGGAGGAUGGAAUUCCUAGUGUAGCGGUGAAAUGCGUAGAGAUUAGGAAGAACACCAGUGGCGAAGGCGAUUCUCUGGACUGUAACUGACGCUGAGGCUGAAAGCGUGGGGAGCAAACA